GACCUAUUCAUCUAUACUAAGGUAGGGACCGCGGAGCGAUUGCUGUAUUGGGUUGUAGACAAUAAUCUCUGCGAUCGCCUUUUGGACGAUGUUUAUUUACGUUUCGUUAGAGCAUGCGCAUGAGAGCAAAUAUGGCGUGCGAAGGAAAACAGUGUUUUACCUACAUCUACUAUUUUGUAAUUUUCCAUAUAUUUUGAUAAUUAAAGUGAGUUGAAACCUGUUUUCGGCCACAUUUACUGGCAAUCCCAGUACAGUAAAACACUAACGUUCGCUGUGGCAUUCCAGAAUUGUGAAGAAGCCUACAUACAAAGGAGUUUUCCAGCCCGAAACUUGUGUAUUGCUUGAAGACAAAUCCAGGAAUCAGCCAUGAAUGUUGAAGAUAAAAAACAAGAAAGAAGCAAGGCUAAAAUGGCGGUCACUGUCGCAGCGAGGCGUCUGAUCGGAGUCUACAACAGAGAUUGUGAAUAUGAUAUUUUAAAGGAUUCAAUGUUCGAACUUGAAAGGGUAUUUGAUGAUUUUUGCGUUAUAAAUGAGGAAUACGAACUUAUUGUAUCUGACGAAAAAAUACGCUGAACACCGUGUAGUUAAUGGUGAAGACAUUAGGACUUACAGAGACAAUGUAAAAAGGUGCUAUCAAGAAGCUAUGAGUGUAUUUGUUAGUGUAAAGACAACAAUCGAACAAAAAGCUAGACAACAAAGUGCUGGGCCUGUCAAAGUUGCCCUAAAGAAUGACAUUUGUAGAAUUCAUGAACUAAUCACAGUCGUUGAUGAGAGUUUUAAACUGGAUAAUGUGAAUAUGGCAGCUUUACAACUAGAUAAGAGUGAUCUACAGUCAAUUUUGAACAUAAUAUGUGAUAACAUGGCAAAACUUGGCUCGAUUGAAACACAAGAGCAAGUUAACCUAAUCCAAGAAGAAGUCGAUGCUAUUAUCAGAGCAGUUUACAAUUGCAUCAGAAAGAUAAACUUGUUUUUGCAUGAGCAACAAGCAUUUGUUAAAUCAUUACACAUUGAAAAUGCCACUCUCCC
This is a non-coding RNA of Paramuricea clavata, 1026 nucleotides long. The record is from the annotation of a GenBank genome assembly. NCBI's taxonomy places the organism in Eukaryota, Metazoa, Cnidaria, Anthozoa, Malacalcyonacea, Plexauridae.